CAAAAGGUAAUACUAAACAUUUCAUCAAUGUUUUCUAAGAAUUUAUAAGUUCCUAUAAUUAUUAUUUUAUUUUACCUUGCAAGUUCAUUUUUGUUGUGUGCAUGUAUAUAUAUAGAAACUGGGAUUCUUCAAAUCUUGGGAAGGAUAUAACUCAACCGGGACCAGAUUUCGACUAAGAAAGAUUUUCAAGAUUUUGCCAAGAGAAUCAUCUUCGUCUUACAAAGUUGUAAUGGGAUCACGCAUAGUUGAUGGUGAUCAACAAUCUUGUUAUAAGAUUGUAAAUCGUGGAUCAGUUUUCGCAAUCAAGGAUGGAUCGGGAAGAUUAAUGGCAGAAGUUAAAAACAAACUAUCGGAUAUUAGUGGUUUGGAUCUUGGAGAUGAUGUUUUGACAAUGAUGGUGGAGCCACAACUAGAUCAUUCUUUAAU
RNAcentral lists this small RNA (426 nucleotides) under Arabidopsis thaliana (thale cress). RNAcentral describes it as "ATSL054390". The record is from RNAcentral. Lineage: Eukaryota; Viridiplantae; Streptophyta; Magnoliopsida; Brassicales; Brassicaceae.